CUAUACCACAACGGUCCUUUUCAGGACCACACAUCUUUGCAUUUUACAUCUUGGUUUCCUGUGUUUACCGACAACAGAGACCAGUUACUCAUAUUUAUUUUAAAUCACAUUUAAAUAAUUAUUAUUUUGAACAGUAUAGUUUAGUAAAGUAGUUAGUGUGUAUUAGUGUUAGUUUACAUUGUAUUAAGGCACUUUCUAGUGCAUUAGGUUAGGUUAGGUUAUCUUAGGUUAGGUUAGGUUAGGUUAGAUUAGAUUAAAACACCUUUUUAAUUGCCACACAUAGUACAGUCUCAAAUACUUACAGUUUUAGUUGUCCUGUUUAACUACUGUCUCCAGUUUUCCCCAGUGUUUUUCAGGUGAGUAAACCAUUUGAAGUAAUAAAGUUGCAUGAAAAAAAUCCACUAUCCUAUCUAAAAGGAUGCUUUCAGCCAUGGUAAACCAAGAACAUCACUCGAUGGUGGUUAGAUUAGCUUUUUUUUUUUUUUUUUUUUUUUUUAUUGUAGUCUGCACCACUGGAGAUGUCAGAUUACAAUUAAUAUUAUUAUAUUGCAGGUAACUGG
Long non-coding RNA from Myripristis murdjan (pinecone soldierfish), 560 nucleotides. RefSeq lists it as uncharacterized. The record is from RefSeq and is a predicted model, not a curated record. The transcript has 3 exons. NCBI's taxonomy places the organism in Eukaryota, Metazoa, Chordata, Actinopteri, Holocentriformes, Holocentridae.